RNAcentral lists this ribosomal RNA (1510 nucleotides) under Parabacteroides sp. AF21-43. RNAcentral describes it as "bacterial SSU rRNA". It matches the Rfam family "Bacterial small subunit ribosomal RNA". The record is from RNAcentral. Lineage: Bacteria; Pseudomonadati; Bacteroidota; Bacteroidia; Bacteroidales; Tannerellaceae.
CCUGGCUCAGGAUGAACGCUAGCGACAGGCUUAACACAUGCAAGUCGAGGGGCAGCACAGGUAGCAAUACCGGGUGGCGACCGGCGCACGGGUGAGUAACGCGUAUGCAACUUACCUAUCAGAGGGGGAUAACCCGGCGAAAGUCGGACUAAUACCGCAUGAAGCAGGGGCCCCGCAUGGGGAUAUUUGCUAAAGAUUCAUCGCUGAUAGAUAGGCAUGCGUUCCAUUAGGCAGUUGGCGGGGUAACGGCCCACCAAACCGACGAUGGAUAGGGGUUCUGAGAGGAAGGUCCCCCACAUUGGUACUGAGACACGGACCAAACUCCUACGGGAGGCAGCAGUGAGGAAUAUUGGUCAAUGGGCGUAAGCCUGAACCAGCCAAGUCGCGUGAGGGAUGAAGGUUCUAUGGAUCGUAAACCUCUUUUAUAAGGGAAUAAAGUGCGGGACGUGUCCCGUUUUGUAUGUACCUUAUGAAUAAGGAUCGGCUAACUCCGUGCCAGCAGCCGCGGUAAUACGGAGGAUCCGAGCGUUAUCCGGAUUUAUUGGGUUUAAAGGGUGCGUAGGCGGCCUUUUAAGUCAGCGGUGAAAGUCUGUGGCUCAACCAUAGAAUUGCCGUUGAAACUGGGGGGCUUGAGUAUGUUUGAGGCAGGCGGAAUGCGUGGUGUAGCGGUGAAAUGCUUAGAUAUCACGCAGAACCCCGAUUGCGAAGGCAGCCUGCCAAGCCAUGACUGACGCUGAUGCACGAAAGCGUGGGGAUCAAACAGGAUUAGAUACCCUGGUAGUCCACGCAGUAAACGAUGAUCACUAGCUGUUUGCGAUACAGUGUAAGCGGCACAGCGAAAGCGUUAAGUGAUCCACCUGGGGAGUACGCCGGCAACGGUGAAACUCAAAGGAAUUGACGGGGGCCCGCACAAGCGGAGGAACAUGUGGUUUAAUUCGAUGAUACGCGAGGAACCUUACCCGGGUUUGAACGCAUUUCGACCGCUCUGGAAACAGAGCCUCUAGCAAUAGCGAUUUGCGAGGUGCUGCAUGGUUGUCGUCAGCUCGUGCCGUGAGGUGUCGGCUUAAGUGCCAUAACGAGCGCAACCCUUGCCACUAGUUACUAACAGGUAAAGCUGAGGACUCUGGUGGGACUGCCAGCGUAAGCUGCGAGGAAGGCGGGGAUGACGUCAAAUCAGCACGGCCCUUACAUCCGGGGCGACACACGUGUUACAAUGGCGUGGACAAAGGGAGGCCACCUGGCGACAGGGAGCGAAUCCCCAAACCACGUCUCAGUUCGGAUCGGAGUCUGCAACCCGACUCCGUGAAGCUGGAUUCGCUAGUAAUCGCGCAUCAGCCAUGGCGCGGUGAAUACGUUCCCGGGCCUUGUACACACCGCCCGUCAAGCCAUGGGAGCCGGGGGUACCUGAAGUCCGUAACCGAAAGGAUCGGCCUAGGGUAAAACUGGUGACUGGGGCUAAGUCGUAACAAGGUAGCCGUACCGGAAGGUGCGGCUGGAACACCUCCUUUCU